This 83-nucleotide transfer RNA is filed under the name Thermoleophilaceae bacterium. RNAcentral's name for it is "tRNA-Leu". It matches the Rfam family "tRNA". From Rfam's summary of the family: Transfer RNA (tRNA) molecules are approximately 80 nucleotides in length. Lineage: Bacteria; Bacillati; Actinomycetota; Thermoleophilia; Thermoleophilales; Thermoleophilaceae. The record is from RNAcentral.
GCCCGGGUGGCGGAAUUGGUAUACGCGGCUGACUUAAAAUCGGCUGUCCCUAGGACAUGUGGGUUCAAGUCCCACCCCGGGCA